UUUGAAGUACAGCUGGCUGCAAUACUCAGCCAAUCUGAGCGCGCGACGAGCCGCGUCCGACCAAUGAGUGACGCGACCAUGACAGAAAUACUAAAGCUGCACGUCAAUCAAUGACUGGGGUACUGAUCCCACUGUCAAGCAAUAAGCCAUCAGCUAUUUUUCAUCGUUUUUAUAUAUAUGUGGCCAUCAAGGCGCAGAAUCUGCACAGACUGUAUAGUGCUCAGCUCAUAUUGGUAUUUAAUCCUCCUAUGAACCGGUCACUGAAACGCGAUCUUGGAUGAAGAGGACCGGAGGGGCACCACUGAUCCCACAACAGGAAGUCAGCUCGACACAACAGCGCGCCGCAUCUCAAGGCUUCCUCUUCCGCAUCACUGAGCCAGAUAAAAACACUGAAUCCAGGCACCACCAACGCUGCCUUUUGCCCUCCUCACAACUCACACACACAGCUGCCAGGCUCCAAACUGAAGUUCAGUUCUGGAU
Long non-coding RNA from Carassius carassius (crucian carp), 480 nucleotides. RefSeq lists it as uncharacterized. Lineage: Eukaryota; Metazoa; Chordata; Actinopteri; Cypriniformes; Cyprinidae. The transcript has 4 exons. The record is from RefSeq and is a predicted model, not a curated record.